Molecule: transfer RNA, 77 nt
Filed under: Phycisphaerae bacterium
Lineage: Bacteria; Pseudomonadati; Planctomycetota; Phycisphaerae
Description: tRNA-Met
Rfam family: tRNA
About the family: Transfer RNA (tRNA) molecules are approximately 80 nucleotides in length. Their secondary structure includes four short double-helical elements and three loops (D, anti-codon, and T loops).
Source: RNAcentral
GGGCUGGUAGCUCAGCGGCCCAGAGCCCCCGACUCAUAAUCGGCGAGACCCCGGUUCGAAUCCGGGCCGGCCCACCU